RNAcentral lists this non-coding RNA (25 nucleotides) under Mus musculus (house mouse). Lineage: Eukaryota; Metazoa; Chordata; Mammalia; Rodentia; Muridae. The record is from RNAcentral.
UAGGGAAAACACUGAGUUGGAUCCU